UAGUUAGUGGGCGCCGGGCCAAUGGGGGUGCGAGUUGAGUGUCACGUGGGACAGUGAGCCUACGAUUUUGUCAUUCGUGUGGUCGUUGGUGUGGUUUGCUCUGUCAUCCAAAAAACAAUUCUGGUGCAUUUAAAUCGGAUUACCGUCGUGAUCGCGGUGCAUCAAAAGUUUGUGUAUCUGUGAGUGUUUGCGCGUCCGCCUCUCUCAUCCACGUGCAUUUUCCGUUGCCCGUGUCAACGACAUAAGUCUGCUUCCCCCCAGACUUCUCCAGACGUAGCAUGGUUCCAAAGUGGAAGCGUGUACGAAAGGUAAUUAUUUUCCGUUU
Molecule: long non-coding RNA, 325 nt
Organism: Nicrophorus vespilloides
Lineage: Eukaryota; Metazoa; Arthropoda; Insecta; Coleoptera; Silphidae
Exons: 3
Source: RefSeq, a predicted model, not a curated record